GGGGGUGAAUUGAUUCGACAGGGAGACAAAAAUGAAGGUUGCUUUCCGCACAAGAGUCAAGCGUUGUUCUCUUAAAAUAUAACUGCCAACUAUCAAAUGGCUACUGCUGUAGUCUAGUACUGCAGCCAUCAGAGCUGUGACUCCUGCUAACAGCCACUGGUGUCAUUAAGCAGGAUAAGCAAAUAAGAUAGUCCUGACUUGUUUGUCGAAAAUUAAGGGGCUUAGGCUACAAAAAAUUUUGUUUGAUUUUUAUUUUGUGGCUGAAAAACAAAUCAAACUAUUGAAAGUAGAAACCUUUAUCGAUGCUCUCUGGACGAGGGUUCGAUCCCUCCACCUCCACCA
RNAcentral lists this transfer-messenger RNA (342 nucleotides) under Patescibacteria group. RNAcentral describes it as "CG2-30-36-38 sp001873465 Standard tmRNA". It matches the Rfam family "transfer-messenger RNA". From Rfam's summary of the family: Bacterial tmRNA, also known as 10Sa RNA or SsrA, is named for its dual tRNA and mRNA-like properties. Its role is to liberate the mRNA from a stalled ribosome. To accomplish this part of the tmRNA is used as a reading frame that ends in a translation stop signal. RNAcentral also lists the same sequence under 3 other names. The record is from RNAcentral.